UUGAAAGGGAAACGAUUGAAGUCAGUCGUACCGACGAGAAAUCAACUUAUCGUGUGCGAACUUGUGGGCGUGCGUGAGUUUCGGCCUCGCUGUUUGCAUGUUUGUGCGUUUUGGGUGUACUUUUUCGUAUGGUAGGCCAACAUCAGUUUCGAUUACUAUAAAAUGACCGGCGGAAUGUAGCUUCGAUUUCGGUUGAAGUGUUAUAGCCUCUGGUAGAUGUGGUGAUUGGGACUGAGGAUUGCAACGAAUACCCUUUGGGCUAUCCGUCUGACCUCUGAAAGUUGCUUAGGUGCCGAAAGCUUGCUUACGGUCAUUUAAGUUGACGGUCAAUAGGUUAGAACGUGAUUACAUUCGUUAAGGAUGUUGACGUA
RNAcentral lists this ribosomal RNA (371 nucleotides) under uncultured Glomeromycotina. RNAcentral describes it as "LSU rRNA". Lineage: Eukaryota; Fungi; Glomeromycota. The record is from RNAcentral.